CCUUUUGUAUAAUGGGUCAGCGACUUAUAUUCUGUAGCAAGGUUAACCGAAUAGGGGAGCCGAAGGGAAACCGAGUCUUAACUGGGCGUUAAGUUGCAGGGUAUAGACCCGAAACCCGGUGAUCUAGCCAUGGGCAGGUUGAAGGUUGGGUAACACUAACUGGAGGACCGAACCGACUAAUGUUGAAAAAUUAGCGGAUGACUUGUGGCUGGGGGUGAAAGGCCAAUCAAACCGGGAGAUAGCUGGUUCUCCCCGAAAGCUAUUUAGGUAGCGCCUCGUGAAUUCAUCUCCGGGGGUAGAGCACUGUUUCGGCAAGGGGGUCAUCCCGACUUACCAACCCGAUGCAAACUGCGAAUACCGGAGAAUGUUAUCACGGGAGACACACGGCGGGUGCUAACGUCCGUCGUGAAGAGGGAAACAACCCAGACCGCCAGCUAAGGUCCCAAAGUCAUGGUUAAGUGGGAAACGAUGUGGGAAGGCCCAGACAGCCAGGAUGUUGGCUUAGAAGCAGCCAUCAUUUAAAGAAAGCGUAAUAGCUCACUGGUCGAGUCGGCCUGCGCGGAAGAUGUAACGGGGCUAAACCAUGCACCGAAGCUGCGGCAGCGACACUAUGUGUUGUUGGGUAGGGGAGCGUUCUGUAAGCCUGUGAAGGUGUGCUGUGAGGCAUGCUGGAGGUAUC
This 679-nucleotide ribosomal RNA is filed under the name Escherichia coli. Its description in RNAcentral is "partial 23S ribosomal RNA". It matches the Rfam family "Bacterial large subunit ribosomal RNA", at positions 604 to 1283 of the family's 2925-position model. The record is from RNAcentral. Lineage: Bacteria; Pseudomonadati; Pseudomonadota; Gammaproteobacteria; Enterobacterales; Enterobacteriaceae.